Molecule: small nucleolar RNA, 213 nt
Organism: Neogobius melanostomus (round goby)
Lineage: Eukaryota; Metazoa; Chordata; Actinopteri; Gobiiformes; Gobiidae
Source: Ensembl
AAGACUAUACUUUCAGGGAUCAUUUCUAUAGUUUGUGACUUGAGAAAUGUGUUUCUAAAGUGUAUGGUCUCACUGCCCACGAUGAAGAGUUGGUGAUGCUCCUUCUUGAACAUGAAGAAAGUAGAGACUUGGUUCAUCCUUGUUCUCUGCUACUGAUGACUGUUCACUGUUUCUUCUAGAGACGGUGUGUGAAGGAGUAUGAUCUGAGUGGUC